UCCUAAAUCACCUAAGUUUACUCUAAAAAAAUCAACUGAGUUUUGUAAAUAUGGUUUCGUAGAUAUUCUAGCCUAAACAAAUUGUUUGUUUUGUUUGCAGGGCCUUACUAAAUUUUAAAAGGAUGUCAAAGCAACAUUUUUGAGGUUUUGUGCACACGCCCAAGCAAGAAGCUUCAAGGUCCACUUCUAGGAGUCACCUACAAAAAUCUCAAGCUAUCAAAGAAAUGCCCAAGAAAAGGAAACCAUCACCAAGUACUCUCCGGUGCAGUACAAAUCAAUACUAGUUGCUCAUGCAGAUGGAAGAAACAAGGGGAAAACAUUGGAAAAGGAGUUUGCAAUCAGGAUGAACAAGUUCUCAAGCUAUAUGUGGCAGCCAUUACAGGGACCUUCGGAUGAGGGGCAAGGGAGGAGAGGGGGCGUGGGGAGAAGAAGCAGAAGGGCGUGGGAACGGCGCGUCUAGAGCGCUCCCUCUCGCUGGGUGGAUGAGGGACACGAGAGACGGUGGACCCUCUCACUUUCCAAAUCUGGACAAGGGAACCGAAACCUACCUAAUAUGGGAGGCUGCUAGGAGGCGCUAGCGGGCAGACGUUUGCCCGCUAGUCG
Molecule: non-coding RNA, 603 nt
Organism: Triticum urartu
Lineage: Eukaryota; Viridiplantae; Streptophyta; Magnoliopsida; Poales; Poaceae
Source: RefSeq, a predicted model, not a curated record